ACCUUUGUUUUCUUCUUUUCUUCUUUUCUCCCAACCUUUUAUUUUCUGUCUCUCUGGUUGCUUUUACUUAUUAAAAGCACUGAUAUUUAAUUCAGCAAAAGCCCCAAUGAAGAGCCACGACUUAAGGGUCGUGAUAGAGAUGUUGCCGCUGAUGAUAACAACACCUGCAUCCUCACUGUUCUUUCCAGCACGCAAAGCUCUUUGAAUUUCGUUGUCUCAUCCCAUCCUCACAAACCUGGAGAUGCAGGCGGUAUUAUUUUUGUCACCUUCUAUGGAAACCAAGGCUCCGAGUAAGACCGCUGGUACCAGGCGACACUGAGAGAACAUGCUGUCCUGUUUUAAAAGCUAUUGCGGGUCUGAUGAAGCAGAGAUGACAAUCACAGGAGAUAGCUGAGGCUCUGGCCUGUG
Molecule: non-coding RNA, 408 nt
Organism: Miniopterus natalensis
Lineage: Eukaryota; Metazoa; Chordata; Mammalia; Chiroptera; Miniopteridae
Source: RefSeq, a predicted model, not a curated record